Molecule: non-coding RNA, 29 nt
Filed under: Rattus norvegicus (Norway rat)
Lineage: Eukaryota; Metazoa; Chordata; Mammalia; Rodentia; Muridae
Source: RNAcentral
UCCUACAAAUAUGGAUUCUUUUAGCAUCU